AGAGUAUAAACAUAUAUCAUGACUAAAACAUACUAAGUAUUAUUACUCGGCUAGCAAGGAAAGAUAAACAUACGACCUGAACUGAAUUAACCAGUGCGCAUGACCAUAUAAAAAAAAUAAACAAACUUCCUUUGACAAUAAGUUUCUAAUUAAAUCAUGGCUGCGCCUGGGCAGCGUUAUUGUGAGAGUGAAAGUGGACGUGCUGCUACUCCCCUCAUUCCCAACAUGUAUCAAGUACCUGCAUUGAGUAAUGCAAGAGUGAGAUGACACAUCUCAGUAAGUAAAAUAAUAUCAAACAGUUUAACCACAUAAGAACAUUGUUUUACCACCACUUAAUUCCACAACCUUCUUAUUACGAAGGUGCAGCACGUAUACAACGUACAACGCACCUAGUUACCACACCUCGCAGGUAGAAACCACAAUAGUAACAUAGUAAUGUCACACUUCAUAUAUUCCUCAUGAGUGCAAAUGUCUGCAAAUGCAAGGAUGACUUCUGCCUUCAUACCUCUAAGGAUAUGAAGCCGCAUCGUACCCCUCCUCGGGCAACGUACGAUGCUAAAAAUGUACCGGUACGGUCGGACCAUAAGAUCACGACAUAACUUCAAAAUGCAAGAUGGAUGAUGCGAUGUGCAUGUCAUGCCUACAACACUUCAUAUAACAUGAUUCAAAAAGACACUUCAACUUCAUCCAGAUGUUAAUCAACCACAUAUAUCAUUACCAAAUUAUGAUCAUCCACAAUAUUAGACAAUUGAGAAUUAAUACUUCCAAACAAAUAAACUUCAUCAUAGAAUUCAAUGAUUAACAUAAUUAAAACUUAUGCAUACUCAAUGACAGGGAAUAGGAUGCAAACCAAACGGUAGCAACCACCACUGUAUUUACUUGCCUUUACCGGAAGUUCGUGCAAAUCCCUAAGUACUAUCCGGAAGUCCACCACCUGUUUUUGACACCCAACUUAGUACACCAAUUUCACAUAAUCAGGCUCAUAAGCGACGCCGCACCUACGCACAAACUCAAACCCCGCCGCGGGUUACAUCUUUCCCUACACCCACCAAACUGCAGCGGCGCUGCUUAAUAAUUUCAUAACUUUAAAAUUAUGGCAGCAGUGGUAACAAACAAAUACUCCAGAGGCAUCUACAUAAAAUUCCCCACAAGUUUUGUAUACAAUUUAUAAUUAAAUUCCAAUAUCUAAUUAGCCCAAAACAGUCCACAAGAUGAACCCUGUAAUCUGUUUUUCUUUGUCUUUUGGACAGCGACAUACCCAGAUUCAAACAGCGAUAUCUUUUAAAAUAUAAUUCCAAAUCAAGCGCAUAAGUACUCAUUGGAAAGAUAAGACAAAUCCCUACAUGAUUACCAUACUGGUUAACACUAAUUACCCAUGAAAAAUUCCCAGAAACUGCUAAUACCACUGCUGUUCACCCACCUGAAAAAUCUGUUUUUUUUGGACAGCAACAUAACCGGAUUCAAACAACGAUAUCUCCUGAAUUAUAACUCCGAAUCGAGCGCAUAAGUACUUGUUGGAAAGAUAACAUAAAGCCCUACAUGAUUCUCAUACUGAUUAACACUAAUUACCCACGAAAAAUUCCCAGAAACUGCUAAUACUGCUGCUGUUCAUUCCCCUGAAAAAUCUGUUUUUUUGACAGCUACAUACCCGGAUUCAAACGGUGAUAACUUUCAAUUUAUAACUCCAAAUUGAGCGCAUAAAUACUCGUUGGAAAGGUAAGGUAAUGUUCUACAUGAUCCCCAAACUGAUUUCCCUUAAUUCCUCACGAACAAAACACAGAAACUGCUAGACUACUGCUGUUCACCCACCACCUAAAAUUCUGGACAGCCCCCCUCUACCCCAAUCGCAAACGCAACCUCUAAUCAAUUAAAUUGCAGCGCAAAUGAACAAGGGAUGAACACAAAAAUCACCUUGGAUUCUCCCCAUUUCCUUCCUCCCUUCUUCCCUCCACCAAAACGAUUGAAGACUCGCACCACGACGACGAUGAUCCGAGCGGCAAGGAUUGGCACCUUGGGAGGAGGGGAUUGAGAGGGGGGGGGGGCGGCUAGGGUUUGGUGGCUGCAAGAAUUGAGAGAGGAGGAGAUGGGCAGGGGGGCGGCGGCCAAGGGGGAAGAGAAGUGGG
This 2123-nucleotide long non-coding RNA is filed under the name Zea mays. Its description in RNAcentral is "long non-coding RNA (ZMAY_LNC005548)". Lineage: Eukaryota; Viridiplantae; Streptophyta; Magnoliopsida; Poales; Poaceae. The record is from RNAcentral.